Molecule: ribosomal RNA, 409 nt
Filed under: uncultured bacterium
Lineage: Bacteria
Description: bacterial SSU rRNA
Rfam family: Bacterial small subunit ribosomal RNA
Source: RNAcentral
CGGCGGACGGGUGAGUAACGCGUGGGCAACCUGCCUUUUACCGGGGGAUAACACAGGGAAACUUGUGCUAAUACCGCAUAACAUCACGAGAGGACAUCCUCAUGUGAUCAAAGGAGCAAUCCGGUGAAAGAUGGGCCCGCGUCCGAUUAGCUAGUUGGUGGGUAACGGCCCACCAAGGCGACGAUCGGUAGCCGAACUGAGAGGUUGAUCGGCCACAUUGGGACUGAGACACGGCCCAGACUCCUACGGGAGGCAGCAGUGGGGAAUAUUGCGCAAUGGGGGAAACCCUAGACGCAGCAACGCCGCGUGAAGGAUGAAGGUUUUCGGAUUGUAAACUUCUUUGAUGAGGGACGAACAAAAUGACGGUACCUCAAAAACAAGCCACGGCUAACUACGUGCCAGCCGCCGC